UACGUAGGGGCCAAGCGUUGUCCGGAUUUAUUGGGCGUAAAGAGCUCGUAGGCGGUUCGGUAAGUCGGGUGUGAAAACCCCAGGCUCAACCUGGGGACGCCACUCGAUACUGCUGUGACUUGAGUUCGGUAGGGGAGCACGGAAUUCCUGGUGUAGCGGUGAAAUGCGCAGAUAUCAGGAGGAACACCGGUGGCGAAGGCGGUGCUCUGGGCCGAAACUGACGCUGAGGAGCGAGAGCGUGGGUAGCAAACAGG
This 254-nucleotide ribosomal RNA is filed under the name uncultured bacterium. Its description in RNAcentral is "partial 16S ribosomal RNA". It matches the Rfam family "Bacterial small subunit ribosomal RNA", at positions 524 to 776 of the family's 1533-position model. The record is from RNAcentral.